RNAcentral lists this ribosomal RNA (514 nucleotides) under uncultured bacterium. Its description in RNAcentral is "bacterial SSU rRNA". It matches the Rfam family "Bacterial small subunit ribosomal RNA", at positions 37 to 518 of the family's 1533-position model. The record is from RNAcentral.
GAACGACGCGUGGUAGCGGUGGAUUAGGCAUGCAAGUCGAACGGGAUCGGGAAGAUAGCAAUAUCGGCCCGUGGGAGUGGCGGAAGGGCGAGGAACACGUGAGCAACCUGUCCUUGAGGUAGGGAAAACCUCUGGAAACGGAGGCUAAUACCGAAUGUGGCGCUCCGGCACAUGCCGGGCACGCCGAAAGGGGGCCGAAAGGCUCUCCCUCAUCGAGGGGCUCGCGCACCAUCAGCUUGUUGGCGGGGUAACGGCCCACCAAGGCAUACGGUUAGCUGGUCUGAGAGGAUGGCCAGCCGCACUGGGACUGAGAUACUGCCCAGACUCCUACGGGAGGCUGCAGUCGAGGAUCAUUCGCAAUGGGGGAAACCCUGACGAUGCGACGCUGCGUGGAGGAUGAAGGCCUUCGGGUUGUAAACUCCUGUCAUGACGGAAAAGGAGAGGGGACCCAACACGUCCCUUAUUUGAUGGUACGUCAAGAGGAAGAGACGGCUAACUCUGUGCCAGCCGCCGC